AACGAACGCUGGCGGCAUGCCUAACACAUGCAAGUCGAACGAGACCUUCGGGUCUAGUGGCGCACGGGUGCGUAACGCGUGGGAAUCUGCCCUUGGGUUCGGGAUAACAGUUGGAAACGACUGCUAAUACCGGAUGAUGACUUCGGUCCAAAGAUUUAUCGCCCAGGGAUGAGCCCGCGUAGGAUUAGCUAGUUGGUGAGGUAAAGGCUCACCAAGGCGACGAUCCUUAGCUGGUCUGAGAGGAUGACCAGCCACACUGGGACUGAGACACGGCCCAGACUCCUACGGGAUGCAGCAUUGGGGAAUAUUGGACAAUGGGCGAAAGCCUGAUCCAGCAAUGCCGCGUGAGUGAUGAAGGCCUUAGGGUUGUAAAGCUCUUUUACCCGGGAUGAUAAUGACAGUACCGGGAGAAUAAGCCCCGGCUAACUCCGUGCCAGCCGCCGCAGUAA
RNAcentral lists this ribosomal RNA (449 nucleotides) under uncultured bacterium. Its description in RNAcentral is "partial 16S ribosomal RNA". It matches the Rfam family "Bacterial small subunit ribosomal RNA", at positions 29 to 523 of the family's 1533-position model. The record is from RNAcentral.